UACGUAGGGACCGAGCGUUGUCCGGAAUCAUUGGGCGUAAAGAGCGUGUAGGCGGCCAGAAAAGUCCGCUGUGAAAACUCGAGGCUCAACUUCGAGCUGUCGGUGGAAACUUUCUGGCUAGAGUCCGGAAGAGGAGAAUGGAAUUCCUGGUGUAGCGGUGAAAUGCGCAGAUAUCAGGAAGAACACCCGUGGCGAAGGCGGUUCUCUGGGACGGUACUGACGCUGAGACGCGAAAGCGUGGGGAGCGAACAGG
This 253-nucleotide ribosomal RNA is filed under the name uncultured bacterium. RNAcentral's name for it is "partial 16S ribosomal RNA". It matches the Rfam family "Bacterial small subunit ribosomal RNA", at positions 524 to 776 of the family's 1533-position model. The record is from RNAcentral.